Papaver somniferum (opium poppy) is the source of this 1494-nucleotide RNA transcript. RefSeq lists it as uncharacterized. The transcript is spliced from 7 exons. The record is from RefSeq and is a predicted model, not a curated record. NCBI's taxonomy places the organism in Eukaryota, Viridiplantae, Streptophyta, Magnoliopsida, Ranunculales, Papaveraceae.
CUCGAAAGACUGAACACAGAUUGAGAAGAAAACUGCCUCCGCAUUCUCCUCCAUCGUGGUUUAAUCAGAUGAACCUUCUUCUCAUAACCUUUCUCUGCUGAAUUUUCGUUUUCAUUUUCUUGUAUCAUUAAACAUGUUGAUGUGAAGAAUCGUGGACAGAUCGAGAUUCGAAAUCAGGUUUUCAGUAUUUUUGGUUUAAAAUUCAGGGUUUUCCUAUUCUAGCUGUCAAUAGGAUGAUUUGAAGAUCGGGUUUAGUGAUUUGUAAAAAACAGGCAGAAGACGAUUUGCAGAUGGCUAUUUACAUAUGUUUCCCAGCAGCACGAAAGUCUGUAGGAGGAACUAGGCUAAAGAAGAUACUAAGGAACAAAGGAAAAGGCAAGUCUACUUACAAUAUACCUGAAGCUGCUAAAAAAAAGGUUUUAAUGAAAGCAAACAAUUCAUGGAAAUAUAAAAAGACCACCCUUAAUGUGAUCUGUGAUGAAGCUCUAAGAAAUGGAAUUGUUGUUGAGUUUAGAAAUAAUGCGCUUGAAGGCAUAAAAACAAGAAGACUGGCCUGACUUUUUAAAUAUAUAUAUAUAUAUAUUUUUCCAAGAAAUUUCAAGAAGCUAGGGAAAGAGGGAAGGUUGCAAGGUCCAAUGUAAAGACUCCCUAUAGCACUGGUAGAAAAGGCAUUCCAAGAGUGGAACAUAAGAUGGUACUACUUUAUUUUAUUAUUAACUUCUAAUUGCAUUGAUCUGUGUUAGUGUUGAGUGAAAUUACCGCCCAUUUUUAGUAGUCAACUAGCUUGUAAUAUGAACUUGUGUGUAAUGUUAUCACAAGAGAAAAAAGAGAGCCCAGAUGGUGAGGUGGACAGACCUGUAUCGUGUAUGGCUACACAUGUCUACAAGAAUAACCCAGGUGAUCCGUUACAUCUCAAACAUGUUGUACCAAAGAAGGACUUUGGAUGUGAUGGAAAGGGCUAUGUAUGUGGGAUGGGUGGCGAGGUAUCGAAGACAGAAAUACUUGCUUCUUGAGCUUGUAGGGAACAAUUAUUUAUUGAGAAAUCGAACAAUCAAGGUCUUCAAACUCAUCUAAAUACUUUAGAAGCAAGGUUUAAUGUUUUCGAGGAAGGCAGGCAGGAUACUGCUCAACCCUCCUCUGUUGCUCCAAAGCAGAAUCUAGUAACUCGACGCGUCUUGAGAAAUUUAAAGAAGACAGCAGUUGCAAUUGGACGUGUUAAUUUCAGUAUAAAUGGUGAAAAUUAUGAAGUGCUUAUCGAAAGAAAUAAGGAACUAUGAGUUGGAGAUGGAACACUUUGAGGUAUUUAUCUUGGCGAGAUGAUUAAAUGGCCAAAGAAAUACGUUACUCUUGCGCUUGGAUGUUAAAUCACACUGUUUUUAUUGUUUAUUGUUGUUUUGAACAUGAAGUAGAUUUUUUUGUUAAUUUAGAGAUGUUUGGAGUUGUUAAGUUAACCGAAUUCAAGGUUUAUUUUAAUUUAAUGAGUUGCAUUUUCUU